This 483-nucleotide ribosomal RNA is filed under the name uncultured bacterium. RNAcentral describes it as "partial 16S ribosomal RNA". It matches the Rfam family "Bacterial small subunit ribosomal RNA", at positions 30 to 507 of the family's 1533-position model. The record is from RNAcentral.
AUUGAACGCUGGCGGCAGGCCUAACACAUGCAAGUCGAGCGGAUGAAGGGAGCUUGCUCCUGGAUUCAGCGGCGGACGGGUGAGUAAUGCCUAGGAAUCUGCCUGGUAGUGGGGGAUAACGUCCGGAAACGGGCGCUAAUACCGCAUACGUCCUGAGGGAGAAAGUGGGGGAUCUUCGGACCUCAUGCUAUCAGAUGAGCCUAGGUCGGAUUAGCUAGUUGGGGGGUAAAGGCCUACCAAGGCGACGAUCCGUAACUGGUCUGAGAGGAUGAUCAGUCACACUGGAACUGAGACACGGUCCAGACUCCUACGGGAGGCAGCAGUGGGGAAUAUUGGACAAUGGGCGAAAGCCUGAUCCAGCCAUGCCGCGUGUGUGAAGAAGGUCUUCGGAUUGUAAAGCACUUUAAGUUGGGAGGAAGGGCAGUAAGUUAAUACCUUGCUGUUUUGACGUUACCAACAGAAUAAGCACCGGCUAACUUCGUG